Molecule: transfer RNA, 74 nt
Filed under: Triticum aestivum (bread wheat)
Lineage: Eukaryota; Viridiplantae; Streptophyta; Magnoliopsida; Poales; Poaceae
Also listed under: 1 other name
Rfam family: tRNA
About the family: Transfer RNA (tRNA) molecules are approximately 80 nucleotides in length.
Source: Rfam by way of RNAcentral
GCCCUUUUAACUCAGUGGUAGAGUAAUGCCAUGGUGUAAGGCAUAAGUCAUCGGUUCAAAUCCAAUAAAGGGAA